RNAcentral lists this ribosomal RNA (404 nucleotides) under Verrucomicrobiota bacterium. RNAcentral's name for it is "Verrucomicrobia bacterium partial 16S ribosomal RNA". It matches the Rfam family "Bacterial small subunit ribosomal RNA", at positions 355 to 776 of the family's 1533-position model. The record is from RNAcentral. Lineage: Bacteria; Pseudomonadati; Verrucomicrobiota.
UGGGGAAUAUUGCACAAUGGGGGAAACCCUGAUGCAGCGACGCCGCGUGAGCGAAGAAGGCCUUCGGGUCGUAAAGCUCUUUUAUAUGGGAAGAUAAUGACGGUACCAUAGAAGAAAGCCCCGGCUAAUUACGUGCCAGCAGCCGCGGUAAUACGUAAGGGGCGAGCGUUGUCCGGAAUUAUUGGGCGUAAAGAGUGCGUAGGCGGCAAAUUAAGUCAGAUGUGAAAACUAAGGGCUCAACCCAUAGAUUGCAUCUGAAACUGAUAUGCUUGAGUCAAGGAGAGGAAAGUGGAAUUCCUAGUGUAGCGGUGGAAUGCGUAGAUAUUAGGAGGAAUACCGGUGGCGAAGGCGACUUUCUGGACUUGAACUGACGCUGAGGCACGAAAGCGUGGGGAGCAAACAGG